RNAcentral lists this ribosomal RNA (606 nucleotides) under Staphylococcus aureus. RNAcentral's name for it is "partial 23S ribosomal RNA". It matches the Rfam family "Bacterial large subunit ribosomal RNA", at positions 2318 to 2925 of the family's 2925-position model. The record is from RNAcentral. Lineage: Bacteria; Bacillati; Bacillota; Bacilli; Caryophanales; Staphylococcaceae.
UCCCUCAGAAUGGUUGGAAAUCAUUCAUAGAGUGUAAAGGCAUAAGGGAGCUUGACUGCGAGACCUACAAGUCGAGCAGGGUCGAAAGACGGACUUAGUGAUCCGGUGGUUCCGCAUGGAAGGGCCAUCGCUCAACGGAUAAAAGCUACCCCGGGGAUAACAGGCUUAUCUCCCCCAAGAGUUCACAUCGACGGGGAGGUUUGGCACCUCGAUGUCGGCUCAUCGCAUCCUGGGGCUGUAGUCGGUCCCAAGGGUUGGGCUGUUCGCCCAUUAAAGCGGUACGCGAGCUGGGUUCAGAACGUCGUGAGACAGUUCGGUCCCUAUCCGUCGUGGGCGUAGGAAAUUUGAGAGGAGCUGUCCUUAGUACGAGAGGACCGGGAUGGACAUACCUCUGGUGUACCAGUUGUCGUGCCAACGGCAUAGCUGGGUAGCUAUGUGUGGACGGGAUAAGUGCUGAAAGCAUCUAAGCAUGAAGCCCCCCUCAAGAUGAGAUUUCCCAACUUCGGUUAUAAGAUCCCUCAAAGAUGAUGAGGUUAAUAGGUUCGAGGUGGAAGCAUGGUGACAUGUGGAGCUGACGAAUACUAAUCGAUCGAAGACUUAAUCAAA